Rhagoletis pomonella (apple maggot) is the source of this 589-nucleotide long non-coding RNA. RefSeq lists it as uncharacterized. The transcript is spliced from 3 exons. Lineage: Eukaryota; Metazoa; Arthropoda; Insecta; Diptera; Tephritidae. The record is from RefSeq and is a predicted model, not a curated record.
AGGUGUUUUCUUUGUAGAUGUUUCCGCAUUUGAAGUGAAAGGAAAAGAAACAACAACACGCACAAAACCGAACCCUUGAACACAAUAUACUACAUAUACCGCUAAAUAAAUUCUACAGGAAAAGUUGCAGAAUGCAUGACUGUGAAAUUCGGCCGAAUUUCAAUUUUGCUUAACGCAGGCAAUAAUAUGGGAAGAAUAAAUAAUGCCUUGCACAGCAGCAAAAAAUUAUUAUAUUUUUAGAAAAAAAAAACAAUUACUUUCUCAUACAUAGGCAUAUGUAUGUAUAUUUGCUACAAAGCAUGGAUUAAAUAAAUGAGUGAAAAGCGUUGGCUAUGCGAAAAGAAAAAGUAAAGCAAUAAACUCAAAAAAAAAAAACAUUGCAACGCGGGUUGAGGCAUUUAUGUGCCUAAGUAAAAAAGCACAAAUGGCAGCAACAUCUGUUGAAUGCCAAUGUAAUCGAUUGGAAUUACAACAAAAGCCAAGUUAAUUGAACAAUAUGAGCAUGGAAUGUGCACAUAAAAAAAUACAUAUACAUUCACACAUGCGAAAGUAAAAAGGUAUUUGAGAUUUUUUUUUCACCGACAAUAGC